CGCUGGCGGCGUGCCUAAUACAUGCAAGUAGAACGCUGAAGACUUUAGCUUGCUAAAGUGGAAGAGUUGCGAACGGGUGAGUAACGCGUAGGUAACCUGCCUACUAGCGGGGGAUAACUAUUGGAAACGAUAGCUAAUACCGCAUAACAGCAUUUAACACAUGUUAGAUGCUUGAAAGGAGCAAUUGCUUCACUAGUAGAUGGACCUGCGUUGUAUUAGCUAGUUGGUGAGGUAACGGCUCACCAAGGCGACGAUACAUAGCCGACCUGAGAGGGUGAUCGGCCACACUGGGACUGAGACACGGCCCAGACUCCUACGGGAGGCAGCAGUAGGGAAUCUUCGGCAAUGGGGGCAACCCUGACCGAGCAACGCCGCGUGAGUGAAAAGAAGGUUUUCGGAUCGUAAAGCUCUGUUGUAAGAGAAGAACGUGUGUGAGAGUGGAAAGUUCACACAGCGACGGUAACUUACCAGAAAGGGACGGCUAACUACGUGCCAGCAGCUGC
Molecule: ribosomal RNA, 503 nt
Filed under: uncultured bacterium
Lineage: Bacteria
Description: bacterial SSU rRNA
Rfam family: Bacterial small subunit ribosomal RNA
Source: RNAcentral